RNAcentral lists this small RNA (107 nucleotides) under Marmota monax (woodchuck). The record is from RNAcentral. Lineage: Eukaryota; Metazoa; Chordata; Mammalia; Rodentia; Sciuridae.
GCUGGGCACGGCGGCUCAUGCCUGUAAUCCCAGCAACUCAGGAAGCUGAGGCAGGAGCAUUGCAUGUUUGAGGUCAGCCUCAGCAACUUAGUGAGACCCUGUUUCAA